AUGCAUGGAUCCUGCUGGUCUCCCCACAGUCCCUCUGGCCACACACGGACCCUACUGGUUUCCCACCAUCCCUCCUGCCCUGCCGAUUGCUGCGCAUGGACCCUGUCAUCCUCCCAUGGUCCCUCUGGUCCCGCAGACCACCAUGCAUGGACAGUGAUGGCCUCUUGUGGUCUCUCUGGUCCUACUGACCACCAUGCAUGGAUAGCGAUGGUCGCUUGUGGUCCCUCCUGUCCUACCAACCACUGUGCAUGGACCCUGCCACCUGCCAUCCUCCCAUGGUCUCUGGGAUCCUACAGACCAUACAUGGACCCUGCCAUCUCCCAUGGUCCCUCUGAUCCUACAGACCACCAUGCAUGGACAGUGAUGGCCUCCUGUGAUCCCUCUGAUCCUACAGACCACCAUGCAUGGAUGGUGAUGGCCUCCUCUUGUCCCUUCUGCCCUACCAAUGACCAUGCAUGGACCCUGCCAUCCUGCCAUGGUCCCUCUGAUCCUACAGACCACCAUGCAUGGACAGUGAUGGCCUCCUGUGGUCCUUCCUGCCCUACCAAUGACCAUGCAUGGACCCUGCCAUCCUCCCAUGGUCCCUCUGAUCCUACAGACUAUCAUGCAUGGAUGAUGAUGGACACCUGUGGUCCCUCCUGCCCUACCAAUGACCAUGCAUGGACCCUGCCAUCCUCCCAUGGUCCCUCUGAUCCUACAGACUAUCAUGCAUGGAUGAUGAUGGACACCUGUGGUCCCUCCUGCCCUACCAAUGACCAUGCAUGGACCCUGCCAUCCUCCCAUGGUCCCUCUGAUCCUACAGACUAUCAUGCAUGGAUGAUGAUGGACACCUGUGGUCCCUCCUGCCCUACCAAUGACCAUGCAUGGACCCUGCCAUCCUCCCAUGGUCCCUCUGAUCCUACAGACUAUCAUGCAUGGAUGAUGAUGGACACCUGUGGUCCCUCCUGCCCUACCAAUGACCAUGCAUGGACCCUGCCAUCCUCCCAUGGUCCCUCUGAUCCUACAGACUAUCAUGCAUGGAUGAUGAUGGACACCUGUGGUCCCUCCUGCCCUACCAAUGACCAUCCAUGGACACUGCUGGCCUCCCUGUGGCCCCUCCAGUCCCACAACCCAAAAUGUGUGGACCUCCUCAGCCCUGAAGGCUCUGUUCAACCAGUCCCCAAGGGUCCCUCCAGCUGUGGGCAACCCAGGUCUUCGUCACUCCAACAAAAGCCACCCAAAACACCCAUGAGCUUGGCAGGGUGA
RNAcentral lists this long non-coding RNA (1245 nucleotides) under Calidris pugnax (ruff). Its description in RNAcentral is "lncRNA (ENSCPUG00000006577.1)". The record is from RNAcentral. Lineage: Eukaryota; Metazoa; Chordata; Aves; Charadriiformes; Scolopacidae.